GAGUGGCGAACGGGUGAGUAACACGUGGGUAACCUGCCCAUCAGAAGGGGAUAACACUUGGAAACAGGUGCUAAUACCGUAUAACAAUCGAAACCGCAUGGUUUUGAUUUGAAAGGCGCUUUCGGGUGUCGCUGAUGGAUGGACCCGCGGUGCAUUAGCUAGUUGGUGAGGUAACGGCUCACCAAGGCCACGAUGCAUAGCCGACCUGAGAGGGUGAUCGGCCACAUUGGGACUGAGACACGGCCCAAACUCCUACGGGAGGCAGCAGUAGGGAAUCUUCGGCAAUGGACGAAAGUCUGACCGAGCAACGCCGCGUGAGUGAAGAAGGUUUUCGGAUCGUAAAACUCUGUUGUUAGAGAAGAACAAGGAUGAGAGUAACUGUUCAUCCCUUGACGGUAUCUAACCAGAAAGCCACGGCUAACUACGUGCCAGCAGCCGCGGUAAUACGUAGGUGGCAAGCGUUGUCCGGAUUUAUUGGGCGUAAAGCGAGCGCAGGCGGUUUCUUAAGUCUGAUGUGAAAGCCCCCGGCUCAACCGGGGAGGGUCAUUGGAAACUGGGAGACUUGAGUGCAGAAGAGGAGAGUGGAAUUCCAUGUGUAGCGGUGAAAUGCGUAGAUAUAUGGAGGAACACCAGUGGCGAAGGCGGCUCUCUGGUCUGUAACUGACGCUGAGGCUCGAAAGCGUGGGGAGCAAACAGGAUUAGAUACCCUGGUAGUCCACGCCGUAAACGAUGAGUGCUAAGUGUUGGAGGGUUUCCGCCCUUCAGUGCUGCAGCUAACGCAUUAAGCACUCCGCCUGGGGAGUACGACCGCAAGGUUGAAACUCAAAGGAAUUGACGGGGGCCCGCACAAGCGGUGGAGCAUGUGGUUUAAUUCGAAGCAACGCGAAGAACCUUACCAGGUCUUGACAUCCUUUGACCACUCUAGAGAUA
This 930-nucleotide ribosomal RNA is filed under the name Enterococcus faecium. RNAcentral describes it as "bacterial SSU rRNA". It matches the Rfam family "Bacterial small subunit ribosomal RNA", at positions 93 to 1008 of the family's 1533-position model. The record is from RNAcentral. Lineage: Bacteria; Bacillati; Bacillota; Bacilli; Lactobacillales; Enterococcaceae.